This is a long non-coding RNA of Oncorhynchus gorbuscha (pink salmon), 3946 nucleotides long. RefSeq lists it as uncharacterized. NCBI's taxonomy places the organism in Eukaryota, Metazoa, Chordata, Actinopteri, Salmoniformes, Salmonidae. The record is from RefSeq and is a predicted model, not a curated record. The transcript has 4 exons.
AGUAUUUUUGACUAGAAGAGAUACAGCUUUUGUCAAAAUUGACCUUACCGGCAGGUUUAGAACUUACUCAACAGGUUAGGAGAAUUGUCGUAGCAGUUUAGGAGAAUUAGGUUAAGGUUAGGAAAAGUGUAAGGGUUAGCAAAAGUGAAGUUUUGUUUUUGUUGCCAAAAGCUGUGUCCCAUCUACACCUGACCUCCUCUUAUCCUCUCACAUAAGCGAACAAGUCCCCAUCUUUCACAUAGUUUAUUAUAGACAUACUGUACAUGGCACUUUAAUUCAAAUAUACACUCACUGGCCAGUUUAUUUGGUACACCCAUCUAGUACCGGGUCGUACUCCCUUCGCCUCCAGAACAGACUGAAUUCUUUGGGGCAUGGAUUCUACAAGGUGUCGGAAAAGUUAUUUUCUCAAUUGGUAUCUAGGGACCUAAGGUGUGCCAGGAAACAUUCCCCACACCAGUACACCACCGCCACCAGCCUGUACCGUUGACACCAGGCAGGAUGGGUCCAUGGACUCAUGCUGCAUACACCAAAUUCUGACUCUGCCAUCAGCUUGAUGCAACAGGAACCGGGAUUUGUCAGACCAGGCGAUGUUGUUCCAUUCCUAAAUUGUCCAGUGUUGGUGAUGGUGUGCCUGCUGGAGCUGCUUCCUGUUGGUUUUAGCUAGGAGUGGAACCCAGGGUGGUCGUCUGCUGCAACAGCCCAUCAGUGACAAGGACCGACAAGUUGUGUGUCUGAGAUGAUGUUCUGCACACCACUGUAGUACUGCUCCGCUAUGUGUCUGUUUGUGGCCUGCCUGUUACCUUGCACCAUACUUGCCCCUCUCCUUUGACCUCUCUCAUCAACGAGCUGUUUUCGCCCGCGGUACUGCCACUGACUGGACGUGUUUUGUUUGUCGCACCAAUCUCGGUAAACCCAAGACUGUCUGGUGUGAAGCCCAGGAGGGCAGACGUUUCUGAGAUACUGGAUCUGGCCUACCUGGCACCAGCAAUCAUACCACGCUCAACGUCGCUUAGGUCACUCGUUUUGCCCAUUCUAACUUUCAAUGGAACAGUAACUGAAUGCCUGUCUGCCUGCUUUAUAUAGCAAGCCACAGCCACGUUACUCACUGUCUGUAGGAGCGAUCAAUUUUGGUGAAUGAGGUGAUGUACCUAAUAAACUGUCCAGUUACUGUAUAUAUUAGAAUUAUGUUUCUGCAUUUCCCUACUAUAACCACUAGGGGGCUUUGAGUCUCGACCUCCCUCCUCCAUUGACUUUAUGGACAGAUCUAAAAGAGCCCCAAUAAUAUCUACUUUCUCCUGCAAAUGUGCACUCGUUCACUACUUCCCACUAAUCUAAUAGUAUUGGGUUGGUGGAGGAAUGGGCUAGUUUCCACCGUGUUUCUUAUACCAGUCAUUUCCUUUCAAACCAGUGAAGGGAAGUGAACAAGGGCACACUUUGGGAGGAAGGUGAGGUCAUGGGGACGUAGACCAAGUGAAGACCUCUGUAUUGUGUGAAGACUGGAGUCAGUGGAUUCAGCAUUAAGGAUAUAUCUAUAGUCACGACUACCAGUGGGCUAUAUUUAGAUUAACGUCUAGCAUUCUGAAAUGGGAAUUAAAUUCACCAGAAAUGCUUUCAUGCAAUGCUAUUUAAAACAAUAACUGCCUUUUCCAUCUUUGAGAUAGUGACUGGGCUUGUGUUCACGUAUUUCUCCGCCUGUAUGUAGACAUUGAGGAAUAUGAGUAUUUUGACUUGAAAUGUUCAACUUAACCCAUUGGAGUUGACUGUGUGUGGAUGUGACUGACUGAAUGAGGAAGAGAGAAAUAAAUCAAAAAGGAGUGUAAAGCACUAGAACACUGAGUGCAAAGCGCUAGAACACUGAUGAGUGCAAAGCGCUAGGACACCAUAUAGAGAAUAAUGUGCCAUUUGGGACAGAACUUCUGAGGAUGGUAGGAGGGUGUGCUACACCUCCAGUCUACCAGACUUGAGAUUUAUGGGGUUUAGUUCAGAUGACACCAUAUCCCCUUUAUAGUGUACUACUUUUGAUCACGGCUCAUGGAUCUGGUCAAAAGUAGCGCACUAUAUAGGUAAUACGGUGCCAUUUGGGACAGAACCUUCUGACCACGCACCACUUUCUAGCACUUAUAGUCAUUUACAGUUAUGUGUGGUGACUAAUCAUUUAAAUAGUAACUUACAUACAUGUAGUUACUUAUCCUAUGGUAACUAAUCAUUUAAAUAGUAACUUAUACACAUGUGGUUACUUAUCCUAUGGUAACUAAUCAUUUAAAUAGUAACUUAUACACAUGUGGUAACUAUUCAUUUAAAUAGUAACUUAUACACAUGUGGUAACUAUUCAUUUAAAUAGUAACUUAUACACAUGUGGUUACUUAUCCUAUGGUAACUUUUAGCAACAUUUACUACGUACACACGGCCUUCGAAUCAGCCGCCAUGAGUCAAACGCACAAAUACAAAGUCCUGCUGGACCCUUCAUUUCUAAGCCAUAUUAUCACAGAGAAGAACACGUGUGAGUAGGACUACUCUUAUCCUAGAUCAACUCAUUCUAUCUGUAAAGGAGUAGAGUUUCAGCCAAGUGUUCUGGAACUGACCUGAUAAGUCAAGAUUUUAAUAUAUAGGUUCCUUCAUUAUUAUGGUUGAAAAAUUCUGGGAACUUUUCAAAAUUCUCAGUUUAUCCAGGAAUGUUCUUGAAAUCAGUGGGGGGGGGGGGCAGGGCAUCCUGAAUCCCCAACAAUGACCUUUUGGAAAACAAUGACCAGUUGGAAAACUUGGCAUUUUGGGGAAGUUAGGGUAAUUUUGGAUCCUUGUAAUAGAUUACUUGGCAGGAUAUCCCCCUCAUAUAGACUAACCAACUGCCACCCAGAACGGCACCCUAUAGAACCUAUAGGUAGAAACUGCCACCCAGAACGGCACCCUAUAGAACCUAUAGGUAGAAACUGCCACCCAGAAUGGCACCCUAUAGAACCUAUAGGUAGAAACUGCCACCCAGAACGGCACCCUAUAGAACCUAUAGGUAGAAACUGCCACCCAGAACGGCACCCUAUAGAACCUAUAGGUAGAAACUGCCACCCAGAACGGCACCCUAUAGAACCUAUAGGUAGAAACUGCCACCCAGAACGGCACCCUAUAGAACCUAUAGGUAGAAACUGCCACCCAGAAUGGCACCCUAUAGAACCUAUAGGUAGAAACUGCCACCCAGAACGGCACCCUAUAGAACCUAUAGGUAGAAACUGCCACCCAGAACGGCACCCUAUAGAACCUAUAGGUAGAAACUGCCACCCAGAAUGGCACCCUAUAGAACCUAUAGGUAGAAACUGCCACCCAGAAUGGCACCCUAUAGAACCUAUAGGUAGAAACUGCCACCCAGAACGGCACCCUAUAGAACCUAUAGGUAGAAACUGCCACCCAGAACGGCACCCUAUAGAACCUAUAGGUAGAAACAACAUACUACAACAUACUGAAUACACAAGUAGCGAACAACAUUUACAUUACGUUUUGAAUAUGUUAACUUAAAGGGGAAGUUCACUAUUUUACAACUUUGUCAGAUGGUUUCUCAUCCUGGAAGUAGUCUAUGGGCCAGAAGAAACCUAUCAAUGCUUCAGGGCUUUUUAAAACAGCCACUACAAACGUUAGCCAACUUUAGCCACCGCUAGCUACUAAAAUACUGAAAGUCCCCUUUAAAGGAGUUGCUGAGAGAAAAGAGAACUGAAUGUAGGAGUGUUUCCUGCCGUAUGCCAUGUUUGGGAGUGGAAACCAAAGACUGAAAGAAUGGGGAUGGGUGAAUUUGAUAUGAGGAAAAGCUAGAGAAGAGGAUUGAUCUGUAUUGAAAGAGAAACUUCUUCCUGUAUUACUUUGUGAAUUGUAAAUAAAUAGUGGCUAACGGGCAGCGCCACGCAGAAGCAGGGUCUUCUCUUGGGACUGCUGCCCCCACGUGCUGGAGACAAAUUAUCCAUUA